This 997-nucleotide ribosomal RNA is filed under the name uncultured organism. Its description in RNAcentral is "bacterial SSU rRNA". It matches the Rfam family "Bacterial small subunit ribosomal RNA", at positions 355 to 1375 of the family's 1533-position model. The record is from RNAcentral.
UGGGGAAUAUUGCACAAUGGGCGAAAGCCUGAUGCAGCGACGCCGCGUGAGCGAAGAAGUAUUUCGGUAUGUAAAGCUCUAUCAGCAGGGAAGAUAAUGACGGUACCUGACUAAGAAGCACCGGCUAAAUACGUGCCAGCAGCCGCGGUAAUACGUAUGGUGCAAGCGUUAUCCGGAUUUACUGGGUGUAAAGGGUGCGUAGACGGGAAAGCAAGUUAGCUGUGAAAUCCCUCGGCUCAACCGAGGAACUGCAACUAAAACUACUAUUCUUGAGUGCUGGAGGGGAAAGUGGAAUUCCCAGUGUAGCGGUGAAAUGCGUAGAUAUUAGGAGGAACACCAGUGGCGAAGGCGACUUUCUGGACAGUAACUGACGUUGAGGCACGAAAGUGUGGGGAGCAAACAGGAUUAGAUACCCUGGUAGUCCACACCGUAAACGAUGGAUACUAGGUGUAGGGAAUAUUAAGUUCUCUGUGCCGUCGCAAACGCAGUAAGUAUCCCACCUGGGGAGUACGACCGCAAGGUUGAAACUCAAAGGAAUUGACGGGGGCCCGCACAAGCAGUGGAGUAUGUGGUUUAAUUCGAAGCAACGCGAAGAACCUUACCAGGUCUUGACAUCCCGAUGACCGCCUUAGAGAUAAGGCUUUUCUUCGGAACAUCGGUGACAGGUGGUGCAUGGUUGUCGUCAGCUCGUGUCGUGAGAUGUUGGGUUAAGUCCCGCAACGAGCGCAACCCUUACGGUUAGUUGAUACGCAAGAUCACUCUAGCCGGACUGCCGUUGACAAAACGGAGGAAGGUGGGGACGACGUCAAAUCAUCAUGCCCCUUAUGACCUGGGCUACACACGUACUACAAUGGCAGUCAUACAGAGGGAAGCAAAACCGCGAGGUGGAGCAAAUCCCUAAAAGCUGUCCCAGUUCAGAUUGCAGGCUGCAACCCGCCUGCAUGAAGUCGGAAUUGCUAGUAAUCGCGGAUCAGCAUGCCGCGGUGAAUACGUUCCC